Long non-coding RNA from Psammomys obesus (fat sand rat), 319 nucleotides. RefSeq lists it as uncharacterized. Lineage: Eukaryota; Metazoa; Chordata; Mammalia; Rodentia; Muridae. The record is from RefSeq and is a predicted model, not a curated record. The transcript is spliced from 3 exons.
CCUCAAAGACCAGGGUGCCAAGUGCCUACAACGUGCAUGCAAUAUAGAGGAAAAUUACCCACACCCUUACCCUGGAUCCUAAAGGCGGAGAUGAAGAAAGAAACCCGCUUCUGGUUUUUGUGCCAGCCCUCGGGAGCUGGGGAUGAUGGCCAGGCAAUCGCUCAGAAGCAGCCUUGAGUGAUUAUGGGGAAUUUCCAUCCUGCAGUGACCCAUCUGGAGAGCAACAGGCAGGGGAUGUGGUCAUUUUGACUUGAUUUCCGUAAAGACAAAGGGUGAAGAUCUCUGCACAUGCUCAUUGACCAUUUAUAUGUCUUCUCUA